This 253-nucleotide ribosomal RNA is filed under the name uncultured bacterium. RNAcentral describes it as "partial 16S ribosomal RNA". It matches the Rfam family "Bacterial small subunit ribosomal RNA", at positions 524 to 776 of the family's 1533-position model. The record is from RNAcentral.
UACAGAGGUGGCAAGCGUUGUUCGGAAUUACUGGGCGUAAAGGGCGCGUAGGCGGCCCUCUAAGUCCCGUGUGAAAGCCCCCGGCUCAACCGGGGAACUGCACGGGAAACUGGAAGGCUUGAGUUCGGGAGAGGGAAGCGGAAUUCCGGGUGUAGCGGUGAAAUGCGUAGAUAUCCGGAGGAACACCGGUGGCGAAGGCGGCUUCCUGGACCGACACUGACGCUGAUGCGCGAAAGCUAGGGGAGCAAACGGG